UAGGCUCUUAACUGCUACAUUUUUC
RNAcentral lists this non-coding RNA (25 nucleotides) under Rattus norvegicus (Norway rat). The record is from RNAcentral. Lineage: Eukaryota; Metazoa; Chordata; Mammalia; Rodentia; Muridae.